RNAcentral lists this ribosomal RNA (454 nucleotides) under uncultured bacterium. Its description in RNAcentral is "bacterial SSU rRNA". It matches the Rfam family "Bacterial small subunit ribosomal RNA", at positions 340 to 786 of the family's 1533-position model. The record is from RNAcentral.
UACGAAGGCAGCAGUGGGGAAUAUUGCACAAUGGGCGCAAGCCUGAUGCAGCCAUGCCGCGUGUAUGAAGAAGGCCUUCGGGUUGUAAAGUACUUUCAGUCGUGAGGAAGGUGUUAAGGUUAAUAACCUUAGCAAUUGACGUUAGCGACAGAAGAAGCACCGGCUAACUCCGUGCCAGCAGCCGCGGUAAUACGGAGGGUGCGAGCGUUAAUCGGAAUUACUGGGCGUAAAGGGCACGCAGGCGGUUAAUUAAGUUGGAUGUGAAAUCCCCGGGCUUAACCUGGGAAUGGCAUUCAAGACUGGUUAGCUAGAGUCUUGUAGAGGGGGUAGAAUUCCAUGUGUAGCGGUGAAAUGCGUAGAGAUGUGGAGGAAUACCGGUGGCGAAGGCGGCCCCUGGACAAAGACUGACGCUCAUGUGCGAAAGCGUGGGGAGCGAAAACAGGGAUUAGAUACC